AUUGAACGCUGGCGGCAGGCCUAACACAUGCAAGUCGAGCGGAUGAAGGGAGCUUGCUCCUGGAUUCAGCGGCGGACGGGUGAGUAAUGCCUAGGAAUCUGCCUGGUAGUGGGGGAUAACGUCCGGAAACGGGCGCUAAUACCGCAUACGUCCUGAGGGAGAAAGUGGGGGAUCUUCGGACCUCACGCUAUCAGAUGAGCCUAGGUCGGAUUAGCUAGUUGGUGGGGUAAAGGCCUACCAAGGCGACGAUCCGUAACUGGUCUGAGAGGAUGAUCAGUCACACGGGAACUGAGACACGGUCCCGACUCCUACGGGGAGCAGCAGUGGGGAAUAUUGGACGAUGGGCGAAAGCCUGAUCCAGCCAUGCCGCGUGUGUGAAGAAGGUCUUCGGAUUGUAAAGCACUUUAAGUUGGGAGGAAGGGCAGUAAGUUAAUACCUUGCUGUUUUGACGUUACCAACAGAAUAAGCACCGGCUAACUUCGUG
Molecule: ribosomal RNA, 484 nt
Filed under: uncultured bacterium
Lineage: Bacteria
Description: partial 16S ribosomal RNA
Rfam family: Bacterial small subunit ribosomal RNA
Source: RNAcentral